This 424-nucleotide long non-coding RNA is filed under the name Mus pahari (shrew mouse). RNAcentral describes it as "RIKEN cDNA 1700126H18 gene (MGP_PahariEiJ_G0002463.1)". The record is from RNAcentral. Lineage: Eukaryota; Metazoa; Chordata; Mammalia; Rodentia; Muridae.
UGUAAGACUGAGCACUGAGCUCGGUUAAGCCCACUGAAACUCAAGCGAUCCAGGAGGGAGGAAAGCCUAUGAAAUCUGGUGGACAUCAGAGCCCUGCUGAUCUACCUAGCACUCCACCUCUGAAUAGCUGCAUCAGACCAAGCCUUCAGCACAGGAGGGCUGGGGAACCAAGGACAUCCCACACAGCUAAUUGCUUUUCACAAUGACUGUCAUUUAUCGUUGAUUGUCUGAAUGGAAUUUUAUAUAUGCUGGGAAAGAUCAGGUGCCCUUAAUUUGCCUAAAGCCACGGGAAGGUCCGGAUUCCUUCUAGAAGCCUGGGUUGUGUUUGUAUGUUUGAAGUCUCAGAGACCUGCCUGCACCAUCCAUUCAGAAGUCUGCAGAGGGCAUCGGGUCUUCCUUGGCAAUAAACGUUUAAAACUACCCC